This 32759-nucleotide long non-coding RNA is filed under the name Gallus gallus (chicken). Lineage: Eukaryota; Metazoa; Chordata; Aves; Galliformes; Phasianidae. The record is from RNAcentral.
CUUGAGUGUUUGCUUAAUACAAUUUGAGUGUACUGAUCUUGAAAUUUCCAUUGUAUUGAGUUUUGUGUACUCCAAAAAAUGCCUCAAAAAUAUUAUGAUGAACAUAUGAUCCGCUUAAUUGUUUUGAAACCGAAGUAAUAUUUCAGUUUCAAUGAAUACCAAAUAAGAAUAUGCUUUUCUUAACUUUGCCAAUAGAUGGCACUGUGAUCCCACAGUGAAAAAGAAAAACCCAAGCAAGUGUUCCCAGACAUCCUAAAAAUAGAAAUUGCUUGCAAAUGUUUCCUUGUGCGCAGCAGAGAACAAUAGGCAAAAAUUCCAAGGGUAAUUCCAAGAUAAACCAAAUCAACUGGAGAUUUCCUGUUUUCCUCUUGGUUUACAAAGAAAACUCAGUGUCAAGGGAACUGAUGACUGGGAUGUGUUGGACUAAUAUAAAUUUAUCUGAAGCCAAGAAUGCCCCUGGUUUGGCUCUGAAAAGAGUACUAAGCAGCCAAGGACAUUUGGAUGGUCAAAUCCAACCCAGUACGGUUUUCUGCUGAGCCUGUUCCCUUCUUCUCCGAUGUCACUACUGACACCAGUGAGUAAGUUUGAGAACAAAAAUACUAUUAAAUGUUUUAUUACUCUCUGAUAGAUGGUGUAGUUUAGGAUUUUAUUUUAUAUUUCUCAUCCAACAAGGCUUAAGCAAGCUAUUAAGGAGAAGGAGAUUCAAUUUAAAAAAAAAAGUAAUCAGAAGAUAUGUCUUUUUUGUCCACUCCAAUUUCACUAACAUCAGGUCUCAUACGAAGAUAGUGUUUACCAUGUUUUCGGUCACUGAACUUACAGAUACAAAAAAUGUACACAGGGAAAUAUGUAAUGAACAAUAAAUUCAGCUAAACAAUUACUUUUACAGUUUUUGUGAUAUUGUUCUUCAGGUGAAAUAAGUCACAAUGAACCUAAAGGUUUCCAUUUAAAAUCACCUCAUGCUAUUUUUUUUUCCUUCUAAUGGUAACAAAAUUGUUACCACUCAAGGAAAAUUCCUUGAGAAAAAAAAUUAAUAUUUUCUAAACAGUAAAAUAUGAGGUUUAUUCUCGUAACCAGCACAAUUUGUUUGAACUCACAUAUGGUUAUACUUCGCUUGUGUAAGUGUGCUUAACACUUACUCAGCUUUGAAAGUGUGGUUCCAGUUUCAUACCAAUAAAACUGUUCAUUGCCCACUGAUGAUUUUUAAAAUGGACACAAGUCAGUUCAAUUCAUUUUGUUCUUUUCUUACUGCAAUGUGGAUUUCACCAUUUUGUUCCCUUUACACCUGAAAUGAGGGUGUUAAUAUGAUUCUUUGGCAAUUGGUGUAGCUAGCUAAAAACAAUCUGCCUGUUCACAAUUGGAAUUGCUGAAGUUAUAAAACUCAAAUACGCGUGGCAGUCUGAAAGUAGUUAAGUAUAUGAUAUUUUGGAGUACUUAAUAGUAGAGGCAAGAAUAAAGUGGUCUUUCAGGUAAGUCGGUGUUCUUGCAGCUGCCUUCAUUGUGGUGGAAUUAGGCCUUUUAUUUUAGAAAAUAUGAUGAAUUAGAGAACAUGUCUGCGUAGAGUGUUCUUGAGAAAUGCUUGCCUCUUUUUCACCUUGGAGAUGUUUGUUGAAACUGUCAGAUCCUACCAUAACCUCUCAGCAAUGACCGCAGUCUGCCAUUUGUACUGCAUUCAUAUAGCAGUAGAGGCUUGGAUGUCUCCUAGUUGCUGCAUCUUUUAGAUGCCCAUCUUAAACACAUGCGCCAUCAGAUUAUUCUUUUAGCUCUCAGCUAACCUGGGUGCUGCCGUGCUCUGUCCCUGCUCUGGUAGUUCUGUCACUGGUGCUCGUGUGCUGUUUGCACAUCUGAAAGGCGGCUGUGACUUUCAGAUCCUGAAUCCAGUUUUGAAUGCUCUUACUAAUGAUAGUGAGGAGAGGAGAAUUUAUGAAUUGUACUGAGAGAUUUCAUGGCCUUAGAUAUUUGUGGUAUAUCUUAGAAAAAUAAUAUUUGCAACUUCAUUAUCAUGCUUUUUCCAGAACAGGCUGGAGAGAAGUUGUAGUUGAAUGUCACCAAGAAUGAAAAAAUACGUUAAAAUGUUGUUUUCUCUCCUCCCUCCCUAUUUCCUUCAUUCCUCCUUUGAUCUUUUGGGAGUUUUUGUUUUUAGCUUUUGGGAGGAGGAAGGUUACAAAUAAUUUUGUUUGUUUUCAUUAUGAAAUUACAGGACAAAACUUUAAUUAUACAGUUUGUACAGAAAGCAAUUAAGAUACCAAAUGUUUUUCUCUUUCUAGCUGAAUAGUUAUGUCUUGUCUGGAGAAACACCAGUUGCAGUGUGUAUUUGUGUAGGAGGUUAAAUCUUGUGUCAGUGGUUUGUAAUUGACAGUUACAAGAUGUUCCUGCGGCACUUCCAGCACCAUUAAAGAAAAAAAAAAAAAAGAAAAGAUUUUGCUGUAAAUCUCUCAGUAGGUUGGGUGCAUUUUAAACCUCCAUAAAUACAGUCUACCAGGUCCCAACAUAUUUUGCAUUCAAGUGUCUUAAAGUAUCUCAGGAAAACAGUAACAAUUAGUUCCUAGGCUGUUUAUUAUAAAUGGAUUAAAAAUAUUUAACUUACUCUGAUAUAAACUAGCUGCAGUCUGGAAACCUUGAGGUCAAAUCAUAUAGAUUCCAGAGGGCAAAUACUUAAAAAGCAUAAGUCAGGGUAAGAGCUGGGAGUUGUGUAGGCUCCUGCAAGACUGUUAUGGGGCCUUUGCAAUUUUACAGAAGCUCUUCAGUAAAGAGGGACCCUGAUUCCUCUGAAGCAAAAGUGUACUUUGUCAUGCAUGCAUUACAUUAUUCUUGUUAAUACUGUGAAAAGUUUCAGAGCUGUAAAUGGAUGGUAAAAAUAAGUGAAGAAAAAGAUUGCACAUCUGAGUGCUUCUCACGUGAAAAUAAAGCAUACUGCUGCUAGUAGUCAUAUUUAAUACUGCAAGUUCUGACCUGAUUGUAUUAUUCUGGCAUCAAAAUGUAGGAGAGGAUAAAAACUGGGAAUUGUAAUUCUCUCUCUCUCUCUUUUUCUUUUUUUUUUUUUUAAUGGAAGUCUCUCCUCUGUAUGAACAAUUCCUCAUGUUGAAUCUUCUUACAGAGUUCACAAGUGGUAUUUAGGUAGCUGUUGUGGGGCUAGCUCCACAUCGAUAAUUCUGCUGAAUUUACUUAACUUUGUCAUGGCUUCUAGUGGGGCAAAGGCGUCGAGUGUUGUGGCAUCCUAGUGGGGCAAAUGCAAGGGUGAAAAUGGAGAGGCUGAAGAAAAUUCAUGGGAACUAAAUUAAGAGCUGAAUAAAGUGACAUUAGGAAAACCUGAAAGGGCUCUGCCUUUUGUCUUUACUCUUUUUUGUGUUUUGGUAUCUACCUCUAGGCCGUGGAGAGAUGCCUGUGUCAGAUGAACUCCAUCACAUAUUGCUGAUUGAUGUAUUUUUUUCCACCUUUGAAGGUCUAUUUUAUUUUCAUUGUAGCUAAGGAUCCUCAUGGUUGUAGCGCAGUGUAGUCCAGAUAAAAUUUCUUAGAAGUACAUUGUUAUCGUGAGCCUAUGUGUCAUUGUCUAGGAAUAGCUGUAUUUACUCUUGCUGUUCAGGACUGGGAGAGAAAGCUGAAGUCAAGAGGAACAUGUCUGGGCAGAAGUGUGCUUUCCUGUAUAGUGAAUUGAAAUUUCCACUCUGACACCCUAUACUAAGCUAUACGUUUUACUGAAUUGUCUGUAAUACGUAAGGCGAGGUCAAGACUUUCAGCUUCCUAUUCAUCUAGGCUGAAUUUUCCAAAAUUCAUUUGUCAUCUAAAUGAGAACAAGAACAGCUUUUCAAGGAACUAUACAACAAACCAAGUCAUAACAUUGUUCUUAUCACCUCUUGGUGAGAAAUGGAAUCAACUAAAAGCAGUAGUUUAUGCUCUUCGUGGGAAAAUCUUGAUAUUUGUCAUGUCAGUACACUUUUUUUUUUUUAAAUGCAUAGAUAUUCCAAAUUACAGUUGUUUCAUAUAAAAGAGGAGGAUUAUUUAAGAUGGUGUAAAUCACUGGCUUUUGAAUAGAACAUUUUUCUUCUGGUUUGACAGUCAAUCAGGAACAAUAGGGAUGUUUGUCUUUAACUUGCUCUGUAAAACAGCAUUUGUCUCUACAAGUUUGUCAGGCAGUGUCUGUUGAUUCAUGACUUCAGACAAGUAGUGGAAGGAACAAUUACCAUUCUCCACAGAAAAACAAACAUAUACGUAGGUGUGUGGCAAUUUUGCUGGGAAUCAUGCAUCAGGCAAGUUAAUAUAGAAAGCAAAAUAGGAAGUAAAACAUAGAAAUCCCCAAAGCUGAAGCCAGGAAUUCAGAAAAGAUUAAGCUGAGAUUGUUCGCAGGAAAACAUAACACAUCCGGCCUUUGAGUGGUUAACAUCUACAGUAAUAUGAAGAAUAGAUGUCGCUGUGGAGCUUUUAUUUUUCAAUUGUGAUUAUUAUUCCAUUGUUCCUUUAUGGUGUUUGUGAAGGAGCACAGAUGAAAAGAAAAUGAAGAUGAGAUUUCCUCAGGAAGUGGCUUUUUUCUCUCUGUCUUGUUUUGUUUUGUUUUUUGCUUUAAUACUGUAUGUGAUAGAGCUUUGCUGUUUGUGAUUGAAGGAGAAAAAGAUUAGUGAGUCAGAAGCAGUAGAAAGAUUGAGAAUGUUCUGGUUGGAGGCUGUAUAGUCCUCUUAAAAGGAAUAUUAGAGGGAAAAUCCUGACCUCUUUGAGAUCAAUGACAAAGUUAUCACUGACUUCAUUAGGAUAAGGAUAGCACCUUGUAGAUGGGAGUGAAUAAAGAGUUAAGGAAGACAGAGGCAAGAGAGUUGGAGAUCUUAUGUGUCCAGAGGGAAUGAUGCUUAUUUCUAUUAAGAGAUAAUAGGAAGCACUUGAGUGCCACAAGUUUUCUGGUUUUUCAGUAUGAAAACUGUAACCAGAAUAUAUUAUUUUUUCUUAAAAAAAAAAAAAAUCAUCUUCUAUAAGUUAAUAGUGCUUUAAAACAAUACUGAACAACCAAGGAACUGGAAAAAAAGAAAUCAAAGCGAGAAAACCUGAGUUUUGUAGUACACAGUUCAAUUUCAGUUCUUGUAACCCUCAUUUGGAAGGCAAGUAAAGAAUAAAUCUAGACAUGGCAAAUGUAAUUGUGAGACAGUUUCUUCAGACUUCACCUCAAAUUGAUCUUAAAAAAAAAAAAAAAGAAGAAGAAAAGAUUUAUUUACCAAUACUUAGAGUUGAUAAGAGUGAGUCAUUAAUUAUGUUGAGUGUUAGUUUUAAAUGAUAGUUUCUGGGAUCAGUUCUACCAUAGAAUAACCUGGUAACAAGUCAGAAUUUCUAUUUAGAAAAACCUCUGAAUGUUCCCCAUUGGAAAUAUUCCAAAAUAAUUUAAAGUAAACAUAAAUGAUCCAGAAAACUCCUCAAAUUGCUUUCUUAAAGUUAUCAAUUGGAGAUGAUAAUAAAGGUAUGCUGAUUUAGAGGCAUUUUUCUCCUGGCAGCCUGCCACUUACUACCUUUAAUGUUCUCAGUUGCUGACCUUACAAAAGACUCUUUUCUGAAAGGGUACUCAGAAUGGUUACUGAAAUUCAGUUAUGUUCCUUUUGCCUAUUACCAAAUGAGAAUAUAUACUUAAAUCAUGUGUAGACUGAGAGUUUUUUUUCUAAUUAGUCAAAGUUUGUGGUUUGUUUUUGCUUUCCAUUUAUCAGUAUUUUUACAUUACACUAGCUUGUCGUAUUAUUGAAUGCUUCCUCUAAGGCUUUUCCUUAAGAUAAAGUACAUUUUAAUCUUUUCCACAGCUCUGAUUUAUUCUUCAUUCUAUCUGAACCAUUGCAAAAUAGAGGGUUUCACGGGGAAUAAUUAUAUGUCAUCGUGAAUCAGUUCUUAUUAUUUAUUUAUAUUUGUCCACCAUUGGGGAAAAAAAAAAAAAAACCAACAAAAAACCUUUCUUGUCAGAAGGAGUGUGUAUAUGGCUUCUAUAGUGCAUGAUAUGCAACCAAAAUAGAAGUGAAAUACCAUUUUUAUUUACUGCAAUAUUAGCCAGUAUGCACUGGCAUAGUUACCUUCUCAGUUUAAAGAAUGUGCCUUCAUGUUUUAUUGAGAAAACAUGGAAAUCAGUUUGGUAUUCAUGGCAUGCAGUAACAUGGAUUGUUUUUCUUGGAUAGUAAAGUUACUGAAGCUUGUGAACCAGUAGUGAGAAAUUUUAUUUACUGGUGUUUAUUAAUUCCUUUGCUAUUUAUCCCCUCAUAUGUAUCUCAGGAAGAACAAUAACUUAAGUGCACCAAUCUUCUGAGCUACUGAGCCGUAUUACAUUUGCUUGUCUAAACAAAAGGCUAUAAAGCAUAAAAAGCUAUUCAAGAAAUUUCUGCAUUUAAUUGCCAUCCUGAAAUCUUGUAACCACUGAGAACUGUACCAUCUCUUCAAAUAAAAAAAAAAAUCAAGCAAUUUUUUUCUGUGACUGUUGGUCAUAAAGAACAGGAUCCAAAAAGCGUAAACUUUUAUACAUGACUGUCUCUAAGAACAAGCAGUAGAAAACCUUAAGAACUUUCUUCAGAUUGACAUAAAACUUUGUUUUGUUGACAUAAGUAAGAUUGUAGAAAGUCAAACACUCUGGAAGUUUCAGAAAAAUGUGCUGAUCAGUGAACCUAUCAAGCAAGGAUUUACCUAAAUGCUAUUCUCUCAAGAUGAUAGUGGUAAAUGUCUCUCUCAUAGGGUGGCUUCUUUUUUUUUUUUUUUUUUUUUUUUAAAGUUAUAUCACUCCAUAUAUAAUGAUAAUUAACUGUUAGAAAACUUCCUGUUCCCUCUAAAGUUUGGAUAAACAUUCAGACCUUAAGUUAACUGUUCAUAUUACAUUACCUCUUUUAGACAGGAACAUACAGGAAGACCUUGUGCAGCUUCUAGUUUUUUCUAUAAAACACACAUUUCUGUAUCUGCAUAAUAAAUUUGGAGUCACUUUAGAGCCAAUUUUCUCCUGUUUCUGAGAUAUAUGUGAACAUGUGUGAGGUGUAAGAAUUGCUGUGAGGUGUCCUAGGGUGCUCCCGAAGCUCUGGACCCCAUUUCACUUAGUCUUGGCCAUUGUGCAACCACUGAAAUUGUUUUAUGGAACUCUGCAGGGGAAUUGUAGAGACAGGGCUAUCGAAAUGAAUGAGCUAUUCACGUCUAAAUCAGAGCUUGCAUUAUUUGUGAACGUAUCUUUGUGGAUCAGAAAAUCUCUUAUUUUGUUAUUACUUUUUUUUUUUAAAUGAAAAUUUAAAUUCUUCUUAAAGAUUCUGGAGAUGAGAAAGAGUGAGGCAAGAUAAAAUCUGUGACAGAAAUGGAUAUAAGAUGUCAUAAGAUGUGGACUAAGUAAAAAGUGUGAUUUUUUGCAAAAGAUAAUCAACGUAUGACUUGUGAAAGUAUAAAGAGGAAAUAUUGGGAGAAAAUUUUCCUGUUAUUUUGUUGUGGAAUAAAAUGCUGGAUUCCUGCUAGAAAUCCACCCUUCUUCAAAAGUGUCUUCAUAUCUCUUGGGAGCUUUUCAUUUCAGUUACUCUUCUGUCUUUUCUAUGUGUCCUUGUCAUUAAUUUAUAAAAUAUGAGAAAAUCUCAACAUGUACGCUCACAACAAAGAUAAUUUAGUCUUCUUACCUGACAGUCUCCUGCCUGACAAGCUUUUCUGGAGUGGCUCACUCCUGAUUGCUGCUUUGGAUAUUUUUCUAAAAGUAAUUGGAUUCUGAAUAGGUCACAUACAUUCCCACAAUUGUAGAGCAAAUACACAGGUUACAGCUUGUAAAAUAUAUGUCAGCUUAUUUUCUGACAUAUAUAUAUAUAUACAUAUAUUAUUGAUAUACUGUUUUCGCUUGACAAGUUAGUUCCAGAAAAGACUAUUUUUAGAUAGCCAUGUUUUGUGAUACGGUAUGGGUUUGUGCUGCUGCCUUUUCCAGUUAGUGUGAAGGUAAUGACGUAGUCUUUAAUGUCUCAUUGGUUUUCUGUUUUCAUGGGAUCUGUAGGUACUGCGCUUAAGGCAAAUUUGAUUGAACUGGCUAAUAAUUUCAGAAGUAGUUCACAGGUGUGCCUACAUGUGUCUUGCUUCCACAACAGAGGGCCUGAAAAUUAAUACUCUAAAUACAGACUUGGAGAAAGCUACAGAAGACUAGAAAAUAUAGAAAUAUAUCAGUUCACCUCAAUAAAAACUUCUGGAGUAAAAUAGCUUUAUUGUACAGUACAAGAUUAUACUAGUAAGUCUGAAACCUACAAAGCACCAAAAAAAAUUCAUUGACAUAAAUAUUCUCAGUCAGUUUAAUAGAGCAGUGUUGGUUGUAAAUUUGAAAUUCAUGAAGCUUUAAUUUUAUGGUUAUCUGCAUGUAUUGGAAGUAAUUUAGAUGAACAAAAAUUCAUUUUCAUUAAUUAAUUGUCAAAUUUUUCUGCUUUCAGUUGCAUUUCCAUCCUUUCUGUUCUAAGGGAGAGAAAUAUGUCUUCUCCUUUAAACUGAAGACUAGAAUAAAGAAUAGCAACGGUUCAUUAACUCCUGUUUACAUUUCAGAAACCAUUUUUGAAGUGAAAGAAUACUACUGAGAUACAGAUUUAAAAAAGCAGCACAGUUUUCUUCCAGUGGAGCAGCUAUUUGCAAAUUUAUCCUCUAACCCCUGCUACAUUUAAAUGUGAAUCUCUACUAUGUGAACAUAUUGAAUCCCGGUGUGAGCUCAGUCCUUCCUCUCUUCUGGGUCAUACAAGUUUCCCUUUGUUGUUUGAACUUGCACAGUGGUUGUCAUCAAGCUAUUACUCCUGAUAAUUUCAGAGGCCAGUCAUUAUUCAGACCAAAGAAUUUUGUAUUUAUAACUUGCCCAGUAAUACAGCUAAGUGGUAGCAUCACUGUUCAUAACAUACUAGCAAAUUCUAUACAACUGCUCUCUGUUAUAACAGUAGCUGGUAACCACUUUGCAGUAGCAUGUUCUCCACUUCAUGUGGAACUUCUGAUUUCCUUUUAAAAGCCUAUAAUACAGCCUUCAGGUACUUCUGAGUGAUUGUUCAAUAUGGGGUGGAUUUUAGAAUUAUUAACAAAAGGCAAAGUCACUGACAUAAUAUGCAUAUUCAGUUAUUUUGUGGCAGCAGAUGAAAUGGCCUCUCUGACUGUGUGUUCUUCUCUGAACAUCACAGAAGUAAUUUGUUGAACUACUGUGGGGCAAACUGUGGAUUUUUUUUGUGAUAUCCAAGAAGAAAUCCCCAAGACUAUCCUUUGCCACCUCACUUCAGGACCUUGUUUAGAAUUUAACAUCUGUGGUUUUGCUAGAACUUCCUCUGUAACUUUUGGGGGUUACACACUGGUGCUACACUUGCUGUUACUCAGGUGUAAUGUUUCAGCUGAUCAUCUUGUGAGUACUUAUCUGCUUGCCUGAUAGAAAGAUGAGAUAUACAUACCUUUUGUAUCUACCAUAAUCUAACAUUUCUGAUUUGGCAGAAGUGGAAAUAUCUUACAAGUUGGUGUGGUAUUUGUGCAGUGUACCUGUAUCUUCAAUUAGACCUUCCAUAUAAUUAACGGUGUUAUAUUAGCAUAGACUACAUCUAGGAGGAAUCAUUGUCCUUAUGCACUAAAGCAUUACAUAGGUACAGUAUGACUAGGAAAAGAAAUUCACUUCAUUGUUUAGUUCCAAUACAGAUUUGUGGCACUUUACUAUACCUACUGUCUUUCAAAGGAGAACUUUAGAAUAAAAAAGCAUUGCAAUAAAGGAGAGAAAGCACGGCAAUGUAUCAUACAGAGUGUAAGUAAACCCUCUCAGUUUGUUUCAGAAUUACCCUGCCUGUCUCUAUCUCCUCCUGUGGAUAUCUAAAGCUGAUAAAUGUGAGAACACGUGAACAAUAUUCUCUGUGUUCCUAUCUGAAGUAGGCUGUUCCAUACCUGACAGUUUUUUUUUCAUUUUCUAAGAAUAUUUUGGAAAAAAAAAAAAAAUAGGUUUUAUUUGGCUUCCUGAUCAGCAAAUAAUUAAAACAGGAAAUAUACGGGAUUUAAGGUUUUAUAACAUGAUAAUAAAACUUUUACUGCUUUAGUGCAUUUGCUGUAAGCUUUUUGCAGAUUUGGUUAGUGUACUAAGCCUUUAAUUUUCAAAAUAUUUUUGUUAUUAAAAUUCAUUAGGCAGAUAUUAAACUCUUGCUUUUGGACAGUAUAUUCUUGACAUGCUGCUUAGGGGAAAACUUGCAGUAGAAUUUCCUUGCUAAGUUUGGAAAGAAGUUCGUUAUUAAUACUAAUCAAGAAAUUUUAUGAAUAUUAUCAUUAAGGAGUUUUCUGUUGGUACACAAUCUUUCUUUUCUCUCUGAGAGAGAGGUUUCUCUCUGAGGUUUUGAGGGUUUUUUUCUGUUUAAAAAUGUCAGUAGAUAGAUUUCUUUUCCAUCAGAAGUGCAUCUCAGUUCUUCAAAACAAGUAAUUUCACAGAGUUCUAUUUAAAAAUAAACACCAAGAUAUCUUAAGAGGGCUGAAAACUUUUGUUCCUUUUCAAAUUGUUUACAGUUGCAUAUCACAGCUGUUAAAAAACCUCAUUGUUGAAUGGAAAUAUCUUGUCAGCUCAGGGAGUCUAGCAGCUAAAGAUAGUCAAUGAGCUUUUUAGUCUAGAGUUUUGCUUUAGAUUCUUAAACACUGCCAAGUCUCAGCCAAGGACACCCAUUGCUCUCUCCUAUCAGUCACUUGGAAGUAGUCAGAAUACUGAGUGGAACAGGCUGUAACAAGGCAAGGUGCUGAUAUGGGCUGCCCAUUCGUUUUAAGGUCAGGUUCAGUGACAACACAGUGAGUCAGUCACCAGUAAAAUAUUGUCUAGUUCUGAAGAGGGCUCAUGUGUUUGUUUUUGUUUGUGACUGCAAAUCACAGUUCGAACCUUUUUGCAUUGAGAAAGGCAAAGCUUUUGUCUGUUGAAGUUAAUUCCAAAGGGAAGCAGAAGCUGUAGGUUGUGUCAGACAAUAACUGAAUUAUCAGACACAGCACAUAACAUCAAGUGUAGCAGACAUAAGCAGUCCUUGCUUCAGAGUCUCUCAUCACUGUAAAACCAGUUUCAAAAUUCCCAUUCCUUUUGAAAGGGUAGCAGGUUUUGCUGUCACCUAUGACAGGUCCCCUAUUCCUGAGGCAGAAAGCUUCAAAGUGAGACCAAAGCUGUGAGAAGUAGGUAAGUUCUGGAUAGCAACUGGAUCUCAUUCACACAGGAAAGAAAAAUGGAAAAAUGUUGAAAAUAGACAGACUAAAAGAAUAAUCUGCUACUUAGCCUAAGACUGAAGUCCUUGAAGGGAAUAAAGGAAAUACCAUAUUUCUAGCUAUCUAACUUUAUCCUUCUCCAGUGGCAGUUUACUCUAAGACUGCACAUAUAUUCUGUGAGUAAACGUUCCUCUGCAAGCAUUAUGUGUUCAAGAUAUUUAGGAGAGAUGCUUCAGUAUCUGUGGAAAUGAUUAUGUUUUUUGACCUCAGCUGUUCCAGGCACUGCACGUUCUGCACUGCCGGAGAAUCAACACCUUGCACUAUCAGACUCCUUAGUGAUAUGCCUUUGUAUCUGGGCAAAACUUCUUACUAAACACGACCAGGCUGUGGUACACCGCACAUCGCAGUUGUCAGCCAGUCAGCGCACGCUGACCACAGGGACUAAACAGUGGCUGGUUGAACAUUUCUGCUUUAAAACCAUGUGGUUCCCAAUGCCUUAGCAAAAGGAUAAUUUCAGUAUUGUUUAUUAUGAGAGCUCCCUGCUAUCUUGUAUUUGGAGUACAUCUUAUUUUUUCAUGUGAGCUGAUCUAGAGUAUGCCAUAUAGACUAAAAAAUUCCUUAUUUGUAGACUAGUUCUUGUCUUUUCAGACAAGAGAGAACGUUACAAGAUGCCAAUAUUCCAGUAUUGCAUCUACCACUUGUAAUUAAGGCAGUGUAAUUGUUCUUGAACAAGUUAAGGACGUACCAUUACCAUAUUCUCCUUCUUGAAUUAACAAUUCAAAAAUUUUAUCAGUAUUUUUCGUAAUGAAAAUGUCAUUUUUAUGUUGUCCCACCAACUAAGAAUGUUUAGUUAUUUCUAAAGAUCUCCCUCUUUUACAGUAAAAUAUUAUUUUAAACUUAAGAUUUGUAAAACAUCAAAUGGCUGUAGCUGCUAUUUAACUGCCAUUGGCAUGCUGCCUAUGUACUGAAUAUUAUUGCUUUAUUAGUAGAUCAUCUAAUACAAGUAAUGUGGAUCAAAUAGUUUUCUGAACUUUUAUUUAUUUGCUUUAGUAACAGCUAAUACUAAAUUUCACUGGAGGAAUUAAAAAAAAAAGUCAAGUCAUGGUGAUUAAUUAAGUUUACUGUGCUAAUAACACUGAAGUCUUUAAAAUGUUAUGUAUAUUUGAAAGUUUUAUGCAGAGUUCCACAGAACAUUUGCUUAGAGCCAUUCAUGCUCUUCUGCAGAGUGCACGCACUAACUACUUGAGACAAACUUUUGCUUGUUUUGAAGCUGCCUGUGUUCUCAAAUAAAUAUUUAUACUGGCAGUUACCCCAUUUGUUUACCAGUCAUUCACAGAUUGGACUGCAUUUGGAAAAAUAAUUGCCUUGUGUAAAGAUGUUGUUUAUUCUUUGACUACAUGUUUCUGCAUUGCCCCUGUGGAUGGCAUUUCUAAAAACAAUUCCAGAUGGAAGAUAUUCCUGUAUUCUCCAGUUGCUUUAAAAAUAGAUGCCUCUGUGUGAUUCACAGGGAGCUCUGUGUGCACCUCUGAGUUGACCUGAGCUAUAAACACGUUAUAAAUAAAGUAUGCUGAAACAGUAGAUAUGCUUUUUUUUUUUUUUUUUGCCAAUUGUCCUACUGGUUUGCUUUUCUCUCCUGUGAGACAUUAGAAGUAAAUAAGUCCUAUCUAGAAUUAGGUAAUUUUUAGAAGAGUAUCUUAUGGGGCUUUCUGUGUAUUUUUUAUUUGUUUACAGAAAAACUGUAAUCAGAAUAAAUUCAUGAAUCAGUCCCCAGUUGUUAAGCUACAAAUCUUCGCUUAAUGGACCAGAAGACUUGAUUCUGUGCUUCGAGAUGAAAUAGCCUUUUAUACACAGAAGCAUGUCUUGUUCAAAUCUGCAAAUGCUGUAAUAUGGAAAUAAAAGCUUUCUCGCGGUGAUGGACAAUAGAAAAGCACUCCAACCCGAACGCUAUAAUAGAUCAGGGGUCCUCCUAUUAGUGUUCCCAGCACUCUGAAUUUCUAGAUGCAAAAUACCUUAUUCUUAAUUGAUUGUGCCCCAAGAGUUCAAAUGACAAGAGUGCCCCCUUUGGCUUAUCUCUUGGUUGAUGUGAAAAGAAUCAUUUUGACACAUUUCCCAUCGAGCUCCUAAUCAUGCUGUAAAAUCUUUGGCUUUAUCAAGACAAGUGAUCAUCCAUUAUAACAUCAUCACUUGCUGAUGAUUUCCUUGAGUUUCCUGUUAAAAAUGAGGUGUUCAGAGAGUCAGCUUUGGCAUCCAGGCUCAAAGAUGAUUAUUGUAAGGAAUUUUUUAAGCUGGAUAUCCUGUUCUUAUCAAGGCUAUAUCAUCAGACUUGUCUUUUUGGUUCUUCAAACGCUAGAUAACCUAAACAGUUACUCAUCAGAAAUGUCUGUUACUUUCUGAAAUGUUUAGUGCUUCUUAAAUAUUGCAGAAUUGUUUAAGAGCUAAGUAUCUCAGAACUUUUAAUGGACAGCAUCAUAAAAUGUGGCCUCAUUCUCAGUGGGAGAUAACCAAACCAGUCUAUUGCCCAGCUGGUUAAAACAAAUCUGUAAGCUGCUGUCAGUGUUCAACUUCUCUGCUAGAAUAAAGAAAAUCUGAAAGGGCAUCUAUUAUAAAAUGAACCAAACUCCUCCUCGCUUUAGCAGCCAUGUUGUUAAUGGAGUUGCAGAUGGGUGAAUUCUUCUAAAGCUGACUGAAGCUGAGAAAUGCUAAGUUAAAACUUGCGUAGGCUUCAGUUAACCUUAAACUGUGGCAUUUGUGUAACAAUGGCGUAAAAUAAUCUUUCGGCAAAACUGAAUGAAAGAGAAGCAGAAUAAUGGGAUGUGAGGAGAGAAUGAGAACUCUUGGAUUGGGUUCUCUUUUCUGAGGCUACAGGUUUAGCAGACUUGAUGAGGACUCAUUCCUCUAAUAAAGCUUUUCAGCAUUUUUGCUAUAUGGCCAUCAUAAAGGAAAAGUUGCUACCUACAGAAACUGCUGGGAGAAGGAAAGGUCGGAACGAGUACAUUUUUGAGGUAAAGGAAACGUAGGCUUCCUAAGAAAUAACACCAAGAAGCAAGUUGCUUUAUAAGACAGGACAGGAAAGGAAGAGUUUAGUUAUUAGUUUUCAUAUGAGAUAUGCUUUCUUGGUUAUCAUUUGCAGACAAUGAUAAUGUUCAGUUAUGAAGCAUUUAAUUACUUUGGGGGCUGAUUUAUGCUACAUCAUCAGACAACAGUUUUUGACAUAGUUUCUAGGGUUUGCAAAGUCUUAUAAUCUUCUCUGAAUGUUUUCAAAACAUAAAAUAUCUGGUAAAAUGACCAAAUAAUUUACAGAGGAUAUGGAUUGGUGUGGUUUUUUAUUUUAUUCCAGAAAGAAUUUCUGUAGUCCUAACUACUGUAAAAGCUUAAUGAAAGCUUGCUGUUUGUGUCCUGAACUUUUUCCACUUUUAUAAAUAUUCUGAUUUGCAAAUGCAAAAUUCCAGCAUUAUCAAGAUGGUAUAAAUUUGCCUACUGAAGUUUGAUUUUGUCUGAACAGCUUCUUUAUUUUAAACAUGAAGUGCUUGUAAGAAAACUAGGCACUUUACACAGUCUCAGACAUCACAAAGAUAUAAGAGGUGGUGUUAGCUUUGUAAACAUUCACUGCUUUAUGUACACCUUGUUUUGCCCCAUGCCCUGCCAUAAAAGAAAGAUACAUGCAGUGUUACUUCCAAAGGAAGAAAUAUUUUUCCCUUAUCUUUCCAAGCCUGUAAAAGUAACCCAGGGAUAUUUUACAGAAGAUUAUAGCAUGUCCCACUGCAGACUUCAAAUGUAGUUAACAGAUGGUGCGCUAUCUGUUACAGUGGAAUUGCUGUACCAUUUGGGCGUCAUUCAAAUGGAUCACUUUCAUGGACUGAGUAGGUACUAAAGGGCAGCUCCAUGUUUGUACUCAGAUCACUAGAAUAACUUCCUAUGACUGUUAAGAAACACAUCAACACAAAAUUACGCCUACUGUAUUUUUCCUAUGGCAAAUGUUAGAGUUUAAGAGGCUAAAAUGAAAAUGUCAUUAGUAAGCAUCCUUUACACCCUUGUUAUUUCCUGACCAAAGCUGUCAAAGAUGUAAAUUUCUCUUUUUGUACCCAAAACAGAGAUUUUGGAGGGUGAAAAAUCUUUUCAGUUCAUUACCACUAUCUGCUGAUGAUGGAGAAAAGGGAGAGGAGAAGCUAGAUCAGAUUUGAUUUUAAAAAUAAUAUUGUCAGAUAUUCAAUUCAGUGCAGAAGGAGCAGACAUGAGAGACUCUUUUUGAGUAAAUUGCUGCUUAGUAUCCAGGAAGUUUCAUGUGUUGGUCGAUGGGAUUCACACUACGUUCUGAGAAAUAACCUGCCAGGAAUGAUAGAAUGAGUUCUGGAAUCACACAACAAAAAUGAGGUAAGAAAAUCAAAAACAGUGGAAUGAAGUGGAUCUUCAUAGUUACAGACUUCUCAGACUCUUCUAAGAAGGAAUGAAGGGUUAAUUAGAGCUCGCAAUCACUGUGAUACAUAGCAACAGUCAGGACAGUUUUUGCUUUCUCUUCAGUGCAGCUAUCAAUUCAUCUAUCAUUUGUAUGCUCAGUUGUUUAUCAACAUUGUGAAAUUCCCCUCAGAUCCUCUUCCCGCUCCUGAGCCGGCAUUCCUGAUAUGCUCUUUAUAGCCCAAAUGCCUAGACUGAGUCUCAGGGAAUCUGAAACCAGCUGUAAACCUUACAUUCAUUGCAGUGGGAUUUGGAACAGGCCCAGCAGCAAGAACAUCGCAAAUUAGGAAUGAUGUGGAAAAGUGGGUGUCAUGGCAGAAAUAUGUGCGUGGGUGCUUGUAUAAAGCCUGCAAACAAUAUGCUUGUGCUGUGCUUUUCCAACUAUUAUUUCUUUUUAGCUGCCAGUUUUAAAAUAAUGCAAUUAGAAACUUUAUUAUGGAUUUGACUCAUAUUUUCAUAUGCAAGUAAACAAGGAGAAUUUGCAUGAAGAUAUUUUUCUCUUAUUCUGCAAAAGCAGAAAGAAUUUGAAGGCAGUGAAUGAUUUUGAUUGAAGUAUAUUUGAGAGAGCCACAGGAAUAUAAUCUUCCCUUUGAGAGAAAAACUGAAGCGCAGAGCUGAGCUGUAUCUUUUGAAAGAGUUUCAUACUAAGCUGCUUGGUCCGUGCCAUAUGUAAUUAGUGCAUGCUGGAUGGAUGACCACUUACACAAUAAAUCAAGUUUUGACCAAACAAAUCUCUCUUCAUGUUACCAAUUUACUUUACUGGCUGCUUUCUUUUGGCUUCAUCCUACUCCUCUCACCCCACUCCUUUAUACCUCCUGUUUUCUUUUUUCUGCAACGACUAACAAAUGUCUCCGUGUGUGCUGAGAGCACCAGGCAUUCAUUAUGGGGAGUCUCACUGUGGAGACAAUGAAACUAUGCAGAGCAGGAUGGUGUUGUCACUAUCUUCUUCAGAGUAUGCCUUCAAUAUGGGAAAAGUUCUCUAAAACAGCUUCUAUCCUGGCUUCCCUCAGGUUGUUGUGACCUUUUGUUUUUGUGCAACUGGAGCUUCAUUAGUUUGUUGCCGCAUGCACAAUUUCCAAAGGCUGCUUUGAAGACAUGUUAAUUAUAGUAAUAAUUUCCAACUCAUUUACUAGUCAUUGCCUAUUUUCUUGCAGGGCAAAAGUGGAAAUAAGAUCUUGCCCAAACCACUCCUUGCUGAACAGUCAGCCUUAAGUCAAAUCUGAAUCUGGAUUUUUUUUCUCCAGUAAAUUUUGCCAGAAGCCGUCAUUUUUCCAAGGCCUGUGCAAGUAACUGCUUAAUGCAAACAUUAAUACUCUAGAUCAUUUCACACAUUAGUAAUAGGGGAAGCAUUUAGCCAUCAGAGGAAGAAAAAAAUCUAUUAGAUAGAACACUUCAUUUACUAGAAGCUAAAUAAGCUGUUAUUCUGUGCAAGUUCACAGUUACAGUGCCUUUCCUUUAAGCUUGUGAACAAGCCUUUGGGCUGCACUGCUUAUUUGAUCAUCAUAACCAUCAGUAGCUUCACUGUAGAAACUCCAACAAGAACUCCCUGUUUGGGGGCUUGAUGCUGUGAGGAACUGAGUACCACCUGGAAAGUAUUUUAUGUCCACAGUUUCUGGCAAAGACAGUUCCAACUGGCCUAGGCCUUUGGCCAGGAUUUAUCAAGAGAAAUAUAGGUAUCUUUUCAAAAAGAGCCAAAGAUAGUCAUCUGUGAACAUAAUUAGUAAAUGCAUGGUACUGUCCAUUUGCACAUGCAAAUCUCCUAAUGUAAAUAGACUUGCGUGUGUAUUCACAUAUUUUAUGGACUCAGUUUUGGCACCUAUGUGAAUUUAGUCCUCACUAUUACUAGUUUCUGUGAUGGAUUUGCACAUUUUGACAAGAUGUAACCACAGUUUCUGAACUCCGGUUGAGUUCUGAUGUUGUGUUUCACAAGAUGAGCUUGUUGAAACUUGUUUGAGCCCUAUUCACUUGUGCAAUGCACAAAGAAGAAAUCUCGUUCUCCCAGCUCAUCUACUGGAAUGAAAAGUAAGCAUAUGUCAUCAGCCAUUUGCUCCUGCUCUUAUACAUACCUGCAAAUGAAAACUCUUUGCUGUGUAUUUCCUGAGACCACCGUGUUUGCACAUGGUUUAAGUGUCAAGCUGCAGAAGAACUGACAUUGUGUGAUAAUUGUAGGCAUUUUACUUUAAGGAAAUAACACAGUGGUGAAGCAACUGUUGAGUCAUUUUUGCUCAUAUUUUAUGCUUUCUUGGUUUCCCACACUCUCUGGAAUGGAAACAGACUCACUGACAAUAUGGUAGCAUGUCAGUCAUUCAGUGGUAGUUAAAACUUGAUUGUCAAAGGUGGCCACAGAGGGGAGCAAUUGCAGAGAUGGUCAUCCUGGUGCCGGGGAGCUGGGGAGUGUCCUCCUUCAGCUACAAUGACACCACAGUGCUUUUGUGUCAAAUGCUUGGGUAAUUCAAGUUUGAGAAAUGCAUUUAUGUUGAAUAAGCCUAAGUACUCCAAGCGUUCACUCAGGGAAAGGAGCUAUUGCUUUGGAGUUCCUCAAGCAGGAGCACUCUCACAGGCCAUUAGGCUGACGCUGUGCAGGACAUUCACUUAAUAAAAUACAUUUAUUCAGGCAAUCUCUCAAAUGAGGGAAAUGCUCAGUGAGACAAAUCAUCUAUUACACAUUUCAGUGUUGGCUCAUUUGUCACAGACCUAGUAACUGAGCAAAUGGUACUGCUUUCUUUAAAGAUUGAGGUUAUUUUAGAGAUUUUUUAAAGAAUUUCUUUGCACUAUGCUUCUUCCUUUCUUCCUAAUUAAAAUAAGUCACUUUAAAUACAUAAAUCUCCAACACUUUCUAGUUCAACCAUGCCAGAAAUGUUUGAAAUGUUGUAAUCUUUGUAGAUAUUUUGAGGUUUCUACUUUCUGAUCAUAACCAAGAUCUGCAGAGGCCUUUAAUGACGAUUACUGAAAACCAACAUUGAUUUCAUCUAGAAUUGUAGAGGAGGAUUGUAAUUAUUUGUUAGUUUUAUUUGUGUGGUCUGUAGGAAUUUCUGCUUGUGGGCAGAGGACAAACAUAAAUGAAAUACAAGUUUUAAAAGGAUAUUUUCUUGUUCUGAGCUAGACUUCAUAAAGUUUAGAAAUUUCUAUAAGAAUUUUGUUUGUGUUAUGGAAAAUGUCAUUUCUAUCACAAUUUUGUGUUUAAUUUCUUGCUGUGAGGCUAUCAGCUCAUUUCUGGAGCUUGAAUACUGUGAGGGAAUUCCAUUCUUCCUUUUCUUUAUCUGGAAAAGUACUAUGGAUUUUGGUGUUGUUGGGGGCUGUAUUUUGUCUCCAUGGCUGUAGGGCUGCACAGAGGAACAUACGGGAUCACACUAGCUGGUUUCUGCCAGAUGAGUUCUGAAAACCUGUUAUUUCAAAUUUUAGUCAUAUGUAUGGUGGAAGGGGGAUACUGCCCUUAAUCUAGCAUAACUCUGUGAUAAUGUAUUUGUGGAUCUGAUUUGUGGUGUGUAAAUGAGUACGUUCCUUCAUAAUCAGAAGAUAGUGUUCAGUGCUUUCCUUAAUUGCAAUUCAUGCAUGUUAAGACACAUCAGAAGCACACAUUCCUUUGGCUUCCCAGGACCACAUGCUGUCAAUUACUUUAUAGAGUAGUCCUUUGAGAAGCACGCAGUGUUUAUUGCCUGAUUUCUCUAAAGAAGGACAUACAGGCAUGGACGGAAUAUUAAAUGCAUCCUGUUUUGUAUGUGUAAAAAAGCCCACCUUUGUUAUUUUCUUGCCACGUAGAGUAUUUCAUUGAAAUACUGUCUUGAAAAACAGUGAUCAGUGUAGAAGAUGGAAGUGCCUGUAAUCACAUAAAUAAGUUCCCACCUGUAGUAAAAAUUUUCACACAGCUGUGCCAAGCUGUGCAAUUUGACAAGAGGCUGAUUUCAGUUUGCUGCAUAGCUAAAAAAAAAAAAAAGAAACCAGGUGAAACAACUAAAUGCUGACAUUUGAGUAGGAGCAAUAAAUCAAAGGGGUGGGUGGGGGAAAAGGAAUGUUUCUGUCUUCAGAAGGAAGCCCGCUUUUUUUCCAUGUGAAAAUAAAAUGUGUUUGCAUAAGGUGGCUUAUUUGCUCCCCAUGUCAUUUCAUAUAGGAUAUGAUGUAAACAACAAAAAAAAAAAUUUAAUAAUGGCCUGGUAGAUAAGCUCAGUAGUUUGCCAGUGUCAUGAAUAUCUAAUUCAUUAGAGGAAGGCAUUCAAAAUGUUAAAUAAAAUAAUCAUCUUGUGUGUGUGCACGCUAGUAAUUUCUGCACUUGUUUUCCUGUCAAAGCUAUCCAUCAGUAUCUGUGUUUGUCAGUAGGAGCGUUCAUUGAGAGCUGAUUUGAUCAGUAGUCUCAGAGUAAUCAUUAACUGGGAGAAAUAAUUAGAUCAAAGUUAAUUCAUCUGUAAUAGUUUCUGGCAUGAAAGGAAAAGUUCAGUGCAGUGAGAUCUUGUCUGCAGAAAAGUUGCAAAGAUUGUCUUGAGGAAUUAGAGACAGGAAACUGUAAACAUGGUGAAAAGGCUGGCAUAGCACAGUCCUUCCCUACUGCAACUCCCUAAUAAGAGAGUUUUUGUUGUAUAUCAAACGAGUUGUUGGUUUGGGAAGAUUUUGUCAAUCAGGUUUCUGUUUGUGUCCCACCCUACUGUUAAACUUCGAACUCUUUGCCCAAUUCCGUAUUAUUGGACAAAAGAUUACUCCUAUAAACCUGAAAUGAUUCUGGAAUUUCUCCUUGGGAAUGUAAUUCCGUGAUGGUGAGAGGGGAAGGGGGAGAUAAAGACUUUUUUUUUUUUUUUUCUGGGCAGGUGAACUCAUGGUUGGACAUAUGCAGUGUAUACAGAUUAUACCUCUUGCUGUUUUCUUCUCACAAUUCGUAACUUUCAUGUGCUAAGCGGUACAGUUAGCGACAAAUACUUUUAAUUAUCUGAUUUGUUCAGUGCCAUCUUUAAAUUUUAUCCUGAAUUUCCCGAGACAAACUGAUGUGUCUAGGAAUGAGUCAUAGCUACUUUUCCAAAAGCAGAUAGUAGAAACAAAACAAUGGUUUAGCAAUGAUAAUAACUGCUUUCUGAUGAGUAAGGUAUUUAAACUCAGGCAUAAUCUUCCUUAAAAUAGCUGAUGGUCUAACUGAAAUUUUCUUCGUGUUUCAAGUGAUGGGUUAUGGAAGUAUGGCUGCUAUGUGUUGAGCUUACCAACCUUUUGUAUGAUUUUGGAGCUAUCACCCAUACAUGAGUUAUCCAAGUGACAUAUACGUCACAUUCAAUGACAUUGAACAAUGUUCAUUUUAAUACCGUGUUUCUAUGGUUUUAUACACAAAUUAGGAAUUCUCUUAAAUUAUGCUUUGCAAAAAUGCCUGUGAAAUUGAUUUGUAUAUAUUAAUUUGUUGGAUUUGCAGAAACAUCUAUGUGCUAGCUGACCCAGUGCAGUUCAGCUGCUGGCUCACCCAGGGCAUCUAAGCUUGUUCUUUCUUUCAUGGAAAGCUUGUUGCCAUUGAAUGUAUGUGAUACAAAAUAACAGAAGUAGAAAUGUACCUCUUAUCUUGCUUGGAUAGAUCUGUUCCUUUCAGUCAUGGCAUUUCAAGGAUUGGAAUGGAUCAUGGUAAUAUUAAGUCAUGUUUAUUUUUGUACAGAGAUGAAUGCAUGCAAGACUUCAGUGUGUAGAUGGAUUAUGUAUAUGUAUAUGUGUAUCUAUAUGUGUAUAUAUAGACACAGAUAUAUAUAUAUAAACCUGAGGAAGAGUCAAGUGACAUAGGUUUGGAAAUUACUUGAAAGUAUAGCUGAAUGCCACUAGCUAGAAUUGCAGUCUGGUGUUACAUCCAUCUGGUGCCUUGAGGGACUCCUGAAAUUAAAAUUUAAGCUAUUUCCCUCUAUGUUUUGGUGAUGGCUCCAUCAAGUAGAAUAUGCUCUGCAGUUCAUAGAUUGGCAAUAUAUAAUGUGAUAAUUUAAAGUGAAUUUUAGUGAGUUUUGUGGAUGCAUGGUAAUACUUACAGACAAGAGAGAAUUGGAGAGGAAAAAAGCCUGUUUUACAGGAGGUCACUAAUCUGUCUCCCAGAUGUAAAAUAUGAAUAUUAACAAUAUUUGCAUUACAAUGAUGCUCUUCUCUGGUAAGUAAUAGAUAAGAUGCUAUGGAGUAGCAACUGUUCUGAAAGUAGUUUCCAUGGCACUUUUUUGACAGUAAUGAGUUUGGAUCCUCUGAGUUGGACUUUUCCUCCAGAUUUUCACCUAAAAGAAGUUAAGGGAAAUCUGCUUAUGUAGCGCACUGAACUUGAGCAGGUCCAGAUCCGGGACCCAGAACUAGAUCUGAUGGUAAUGCAGAAUUUGUUAAUGUACACAGAAAGCCAUAACAAAAAUGGCAGUUGGUAUCUUUCUGUUCAACAACAUAUCUUCCUCUGAGCGUUUUAAAAAAAUCUAAUUGUACUGCACCUUCUUUGAAUUCUGUUAAAGAACACUGUAACUUGGUAAUGCCUAAGUUAAUUUAAUGUACAGGUAACAUGGGUAGAAAUAAGAGGCAUAAAGGAUGUAUAAUGCUUUGCAAUACCUUAUGUUCACUUGGUUGUAAAGUUGCUACAUUUUAGUAAUUUUAGUUAAUGUUUUCCAUAUGGGAUAUCUGCCUCAGCCUAAAUAGUUCUGAAAAAUGUUCAGCAGGAAGGGUGCAGCCGUUGCUAAGAAAGCAUCAGGAGGGGUUUGUUUACUUAGGUUUAAAGAAAUUUAGCUUAUACAUUGAGGUUUCUAGUAACUGAACAAUUUUCAUGAAGUGGAGGAGGGGAACGGAAUUUGGUAGUCAUUACUAUCUUCUUUCAUUCUGGUGGGAAAGCUAUCAAGAUUUGGCCAAAUUACAGAACUCUAAAAAUCUCAUAUAUGUACUCAGUCUGUUGAGAUUUGAUAGAAUUUGGCAGAAGCACCAUCGGAAGGAUCCAUUCAUGUUAAGCAUAUCCCAGCCUGCCAAUUAGACUGUGUAUCUGCUAACUCCUCUUGACCGUAACUCAUAUUCCAGUGCAGGGCUAUAAGGGCAGUAAGGUUAUUUCUUAUUCCUUAGCUGUGGAGAUUCACUGUUACGCAGGUCAUAGAGGAAAAAAGCAGAAAAAUUGCUUGGUACAGAAAAAGAAAUGUCAUACCCCUGUUCAAGAACUAGAUUUUAUACCAGACUUUAUGUUGUGUCCUAAAUUGACUGAGCAUAUUUAUUAACACAGUUUCUGUGCAUGAAGUUGAAUUCCAGCAUGGACUACACUUGUUUAUUCCUGAAAUUCGCAUAUAAAACCUAUCAGCAUAUUUUCAGUUAUUUGCAUGCUCAACUGUGUAUUACUUAAUGAUAUUUUAAUGCAUUGCAACCCUUAAACAACAGUGUUAAAGGUGCAUGACUGAAGUCUGUGGUAAGUCUACCAUCUGGAAUUCUGAAUUCAUAGUGAAGAGUACACCUGGAGUGCUAAAGGACAACUUUCUCUCUGAGGUUAAAAUACUCUGUAACAGAGCAGUUUGGUAGUUUAGCACAUUCUAUGCCAAUGUUUCCUCAUGCUCCUUAAGUCUUGUCUAAGCCUGGGAACUGGGAACAUGCUUUACUAGUUAGCAACCACUGAUAUUCUCAAGACACAUAUUAAUUAUCUUACUUUCUAUAACUACUCUGAAGAACGUUUUCCAGCAAAGUUCGUUCAACAGCACUCCUCAUGAAGGAGGUGAUUCUGUCAUGGCAGCAAAUGGUUUUUCCCUUAAAAAAAAAAAAUAUUAAGCAGAUUCUAAAUUUCAGCUGAAUACGAAACUCCAGCAAAAAGUCCUUUUGUUUUCUUUUUUAAUGGCUAACCAUUAGUGAUUCUGAAAAUAGAAUGCAUUUCAAAAGUAGUUUAAGAGCUGCUUUCAUCAAUCUUUAUUAUUUAUUCGUUGACUUGGAUGACAGAUCUGAGCUACUUUAUAGUUGGAGGUGUGGCUGAUGGCUUAUGUGCCCUUCUUGACCUUGUCAAGGGCAAACAUAGUUUAAAGUUGUUUAUAAACUAUAAAUUUAAUGGUAAAGAGUGAUGUGAAAAUAAAUGCAGUGUUCUUCUGAAAUGAUUAAAAGAACAUUGUGUAAACAGGAUACCACAGUAAGGCAGUCUCUGAAGAGUGUGAUCUAUUCCUAAGACUAAUAUGAAUGUACAUGUAGUAGAAGCUGAUCAUUAGAAAAGACUUCUAUCACUAUGUUUGGUGAGAAUAGCAGUAACUAUGCAGGUAUUAUCAGCACAUAGCAAUGAAUCUACUAUGAGAUGUUCAUGCUUACUAUUUUAAAAAAAUGAAACAAGGGCGGGCACCAUCAUUAUUUCAUGGAAACCAUUCUCAGUAAGUGGAAGAGACUUUUCUCUUUAGUAAGAACAGGCUGUAAAGUCUAGGGCAUUCAAAUAGGAUGUCUGUGGUUGUUAGAUGUUGCCCAUUAAUUACGUUGAUUCCAAGAUCUGCCUUGUUUGGAUCUAGACUUCAGAUUGAGAUUUCUCCCCGUAUUUAUUUUAUAUUUUCCUGUAUGCUCUUGGCUGAUUUCUGGAUUAUUUAGGAUAGGAACAAUUCAACUUGACUCCCACUGAGUAGUGUCCAUACUCCUCUGAAUGAGUUCACAAAACAAAUUUCAAAGACAAAAUUAUAUUUGAUCAAAUUCAGAGAUUCUUAAAUUGUAUUAGAUGUCUGUGUUCUGGCCAUGCUUACCUCAAGCAUGAAGGGAUAAAAAUUCUAUUCAGGGUUUUUUGUGCUGCUUACUGUCCUGUGAGAACUGAUCUGAUCCUGUAGAGAUUAUUAUUAUUUUUUUUUAACUUGAAAAGCAAGAACACUUCUAAUUCCACAUAAACAAAACUUCUCCUGCAAAGUUUUCAUCCAGAGUGAACUGAGAUGGUGCUGGCAUUGGAAAACAAAUAAAUAAUUGGAUGCUGAGUGUAAUUUCAGCAUGAAAGGGACAUCCCUGAAACUUACUUAAGCCACCCACAUACACAGCUCCUCGUUUCCUGUGGGAGGUGAAGAGAUGCACUCUUAAGUUCUGCUGCUUCUCCUCUAGAUGGAUGGUGAAUUUGUAAACUACUACAGAUAAUGGGCAGAUCUUUGGCAUGUUGUAAUGAAAGCAUAUGUAAGGGAUUUUAAUUGUAUGCCUAAGACUUAACUGUUAGUUACAAGGGGGUGGGACAAGUAAAGGUGGCUAGAAAUGGAAACAUUUUCAAUCCCACAAGUGGUGCAAGUAAUUUUAAAUCUCCAUCACAAAUCAGGAUGCAAAGUGAAAAAUACAAAGGUUUCUGAGGAAAGAGAUUCUAUCAAAGCAUCACAUUUUGUUUAACUUCACAGUUCUGGUUGGGUUUUGUUUGGGUUUUAAUUUUUUUAGAAAGCACCCGUCACUGUUUCCUUCUACCUGUGCUGUCAGAUGAAAAGCGUUUUCCACUGUGGACAGUCAGGAAGCUAUAAACAAAAGUUGAAGCAAAGCACAUUGUCAAUCUCACAAGUUAAUUUGGAUUUAGCACAAUUAGAUCUUACCAGCUUUCCUUAUUAGCCCAUCAGAAUCCUAACUGCCUUUAGUAAAGGCAGUGGUAACAAUUAGAAAGGGCAACAUGAACAUUCUGUCUUUGGAGUUCAGUGCAGUUCCAUGUAAGGGGGUGUGGAAAGGUAGUAGAUGGAGGAAAUGUAUAUUAAAAAGUACAGAGUAAUAAGUUAUACUAUGCAAAUUUAUCUGUAGGAAAAUUGGAAAAUUUUUUCAGCUUCCUCUGUAUUAUUUGAAAAUUAAUGCUUUAGUGUAUGUGUAAAACUGAUUGUGCUCCAGGUCUUGGCUGUCUGCUACACAGAAUUUGAAAUCAAGCUUUUCCUGUAACUAGUAUACCCUUUAUUAUCUAGCUAGUGUGCAAGUUGAGUGUUUAGGUUAAGUGUUUAGUUCAAUUUAUGAGCUAGAAGUCAGGGUAGAACACCACAGGAAAUAAAAGGCCAGUCAUACAAAAUUUAAGUUUAAAGAGAAAUUUUCUGUUUCAGCUUAAUAUUUACAGCUACUUUCAGCCAAACCAGAACUUUAUGAUCAAAUACUGAAACCUUUUAUAAUAUAUGUUCAACUUCAGUGUAUAUAUCCAGACUAGAAUUUUGCAACUUGGUCAUGUUUUAGAGCCAAGUUAUGGUUCUGCUUUUCAUUCCAAAUACUAUCAUGGUCCAAAAGCAGUCCAUUGACUGUUACAGAUGUUACAUCCCAUUCAUUGUGAAUGAGGACAUGGGAAGUCUGUCCUUCAUUGAGCAGCAGCGGUGUAAUCUUUUCAAAUAUCUUAUCAGAUAUUAAAUUAGCUGAGGUCAUCAAGAUGAUAGGUACUGCACUUCUGAACUUUAAGGAGCAAGAAUGAACAUAAAAAGUGAAAAACCCAUAAGAGGAUGUAAUUGAUAUCCAUAUAGCUCAGCUGCUCCAAAACAUAUUUUUGCAAAUGCAUAAUCCAAGAACCACCCACACAGAAUUUGAUCUUAGCAGACUAAGCAGGAUUAGAUGAUAAUGAUUUUUCCUUUAGUAAUUUUUGUUGGCUAACAGUUGUGUAAAGAACAGUUCUUUCAUAUCCACUCUGGAAUUCCCAAAUAGUUCUGUGAGUGGAUAACACUGAUGAAUGUACAACACUUUUUUACUUUGGAAAGGUUGUAGAUCUUCUUAGAUAGCUGUUGAUGCAAUUCUCCCUUAUUUCAGUCCUGUUUAUUACAUGCUAAAUGUUGUUUUUGGUUAUAAGGGGAAUAGAUGUAUGCAGUACUCUGAGUAUGCUAUCAAGAUAUGCAGGUUCUAUUCUUUGUUUGCGUGUAAUGAUGAUAAAAUAAUUCUAUUAGGAACUAAAGUAACUCUGUUCUAACUCUGUUGAGAAAUUUUGGUGUGAAAUUGCAUAGUUUGAACGUCUUCCGUCACACUUUCAAUAAUAUUUUUUCAAUAAUAUUUUUGUCAGGCCCCAUCUUGGCAAAUAUGGAGAGUUUGGACUGGUUCCAAGAUGGAUUCUUUGUUUUGUGUCAUUGCUUUUGUUUAAAAAAUAAUCAGACAUGAUGCAUAGACAUUUUCCUGAAGAUAAAUGCGUCGCUUCAUUUGAUAACCUUCGAAUUACUAGUUGUCUGGCAGUAACUGAACUAAAGUGCAAUUCAGUGACAUUGUAGCCUUCAACAAAACACUUAAUUUUCCUAUUGAAGAUAGAAUAUCUCUCACCAUUCACUGCAAAUAGGAAAUUCAUACUUUUAUCUGAAAAACUGCAGUGACUAUAGUGAUUAAGGGUUAAAUUAUUACUGAAAAUCUGAGAGUACUUUAAACAACAUAUUUGUUAUUAAAUAAUGACUUGUUCCAUGUGUGCAUGGAUUGACAAAUGGGCUCAUAUCACGAGUUCAGUGGGCUGUGGCGGGAGCUCUAAAAUCCUCUCAAGCUACAUUUCCAAACAGUGGUGAAUUCAAAGAUGAGUAUAAAAUGUCCUGUUGAUUCUGUCCUACUCUUUUUAUUUUUUUUCCAGUCUUAAAUGUAUAUUCUGUUAGUUACUGGGCUACACAAUACUUGAAAGAAGAAACCUUUUAGUAUUGAUAGAAUCUUCACUCUGUUAAGCUUACUCAGAUACAUUCAGUUUCAUUCUGUUUUAACAAAUUCUACUAGAUUCUUAUCAUAUAGCUACUUGCAACCUUACUCCUUAUCAGAUAAUAAAGAUGCCAUAUUAUGGUGCAAUUCUAAGUAAAAUAAAAUAAAAUAAAGUAGAGCACAUUGGAAAAAUGUGCAAACAUCUUGAUGAUCUUUGUUUCAGAUAUGUGUAGAUGUGAUGUAGAUGUGACACAGAGGUAAAUGAAAAUCACCUAGCUGAAUUGAUACUUCUGAGACCACCCCAAAGCUUCAAAUAUUUUAGUAAUUUUGAAUAAUGUGUUAUUAAUUUUAUGAAUCAGUCUUGAGAAGUUAUUAUUGGCAUUCACAUUAUAAAUUUCUCAGACUUCUUGCAGUUGAACUACAAGUAGUGAUUGUAUUCCAGUCUUGAAUGUCACAGGCACCCAUCAAAAGUCAUCUCUUCUCCAGGCUGAGCAGAAUUCUAGCCUCUCCUCGUGGACUGAGUGCUCCAGCCCCAGCCAUUGCAGUGGUAAACACCAAACUUGCUCCAGUUCAUCUUUAUCUUUCCUGCACUGCUAGAACCAGAACUGAGUCCAGGAAUGUGGUUAAAUGAUGCUUAUUGGUUCCUGCGCCAGAACAAUUUCUCUAUCAGCCUGACAGGUACCAAAGUGGCCUGACCACCUGGGAUGUGAUAGCUGUGAGUGUCCAUAGCUGAACACGAGUUGUUUUUAUGACAGGUAAAAACUGAUGAUUCCUUUUCCACAAACAGCCUUAUGUUAGGUGUCCCAAUGUGGUAAAAAUUCCAGGAGCUCUCUGAUGUGAGUGAGGUCUGUCCAAAUGUUCUAGCAAACCCGUUUCUGGGGCAGGGUUACUGUAUUAGAUAUUUUAAAAAUCUGCUGAUUCUGCUUAUUUUGCAGGAGAUUUUUUUUUUUCUCCUUGAGCUUCUCAUUAAAAUUAUUUUCCCUUAAAAAUGAAGUUGUAGAAGAGGAUUAAGAUAUUCCCUCCAAGCAAACAUCUGAUAUUUUUUGACUAACGGCAAAAUUGUUAGUUUAAAAAAUACUGCUUAGAGUGUAAAAAUCAUGCUAAGUCCAGAAGGUAUUUUUAAAAUAUGGCAAAAUAGCCACAAUCAUAAUAAAAAUUAGUUGCUACCAUAUGUAAAAUACUUGUAUAACACUCACAGUAUGCGUGUCUGUGUAUUACUAUUGUUUCAGUCCCAGUGUAUGGAAACUUCUCCACUUUUGAUUCUCUUUGUGGAUAUUUAUAUGUGCAUGCUGAGACAGAGUAGGCUCCUUUGGAUACUGUGAGAAAGAAUAUCUUGACAGCUUCCAAAUCAACCUGGUAUGUGAGUAAAGUUAUUGAGAAUUCCUGUGGUCUAGGGACCAUACAAGCAAUUGAAAGACCAUGCUGAAACUGGAAUUACAGCAUAGGAAAAUUUCAAUAGAAAUGAAAUUAAAAUGAAAUUGUGUUAUUGUGUUAUUUCACUAGUGGAAAUAAAGAAGCUGAAAGGAUGGAGAGAUCUCAAUGAAUGACUCAUUCAUUCUGAGCUGGAUGUUGCAUAACAAAAACUCAGUCUAACAAAUAAACCAGUUUUGGUUGCUAAAGACAAAAUAGAUUUUAUGAAUAAGUAGAGAUAAUUAUUGCUAAUAAUAGCCAGUAGUACCAGUAUUUCUAAAUAGCAAACUAACAGUUCAGUCUGCUCAAUACUGAAACAGAAUCUAGACAUACAUUAAUGGAUUUUCAGAAAUACCUAUUUUUUUGUCAUCUAAGGAGAGCAAGAUGUAUGCAUAAUAGAAAAGGCAAAGGAAGAGACAAAGCUCCUUUUGUUUUUUUUUUUUAAUACUAAAUAUAAUAUCCAUAUUUCCUGUAGCAUGGGGUUUGAACAAUGUAGGACAAGUUUGUCUUUUGUCAGUCUUUGGGUAUGUUUUGAAUAUUCAAAUAUUUUUUUUUUUCCCACAUUUUAUUUGGUACAUCAAUUUCAUUGUUUCUAUUGAAUAUUUAAAAUGAUCUUCAAUUAAAUAUUCAAUAUUCAGUAAUGUUUGUAUAAGCUGUAUAGUACAUGCUUUUGUAUUCAAUAAUACUUAAAUAAUUUUGUGGCUUAUUUUAAGGAAAACAGCAUACCACUCAGUAGUGAAUACAAGGAUAACACUGUGUAGUGUUAAGAUUCAAUUUAGAAGUCAGGCUUCCUGAAAAUGAAAUAUCUUAGACAAUGAAAGAGUUCCAAAACUCUUUCAUCUUGUCCUUCAUAUAUAAAAUAUAAAGAUAAUAAUAAAAUAAUAAUCUAAGAAGUAGAAAAAAAUACCAAAAUAAAAAAAAAAAUUAAUGGGUUUGAAAAUGAUUCUGUAUUUAGCAGCCUUGGCAGGAUUUUCAGUAGGACAGUGAAAGGCUUCCCAUGGAACUGUAAAGUAAUCCUGGGAAACUUUCCAGUUUCAAAAGACUGUGUUGUCCUACUCUGUGCUUUAUAUCUCCUUUCAGACUUCAUUGGGUACCCCCACAUGAUAUCACAGCAAUGACUGCUGCAGGCUGGCCUCAGAAAGACUUUUACUAGUAUGUGCCAGAAUCUAAGGACUGUGCCUUCCCCCAUUACUGUAAUUGCAAUCCGUCAGUCUAAUUUCCCCGUGACAUCCAUGCCAUGCCUGGCAAAGCUCUUGAAACCUUCAAUCUGAUUGCUCUUUGCUUAUAUCUAACACUGAAAAUGAAGCCAUGUCUCUGGGUAACGUUUACAGCCCCGUGCAGUAGACACAAGGCUUGCAUUAGCAGUUCAAAGCCAUUGGAAAAUACUAGGAAGUUGUUAUUUUCUAGAGUUACUGUAUAUUCUUACAUUAUCCUCUUGUUCCAUAAACUUAUCCAAGUAAAAAAGUCAGUUUUGUAGUUGACAGGGUAGAAAGUUUAAUUUGGAAAGUCUGAUUUUUUUUUCUUUUUUUUUCUUUCUUUCUUUCUUUUUUUUUUUUUUUUUUUACACCAAGGAAAUCUGUGAGGAUGAGUUACAUUAAAUCAAAAAAGUUUUAAGCAUGUGAAACUUAGAAUCACUCCCAACUGCACUUUUACUGUGCACAAGCAUUGGAUAGUAGUAACUUUGUAAAAAUUUAUAUCUCUGUAAAGUCAGGUCACUUUCUUACAUUGCUUUACUAAAUAUGGCCUGUGGUGCAAAGCCUGGAAAGGGAGGAGCUUUCUUGCUUACCUUUUGGUGAACCUUGGGGAGCCUGCAACUCUGUUAAGAGAUCCCCAUUGACAGAAACUCUUUAUGCAUGAGAAAGCUUGCCUUCAUUUACUGGUGAAUAAGCAAAAAUGACAGUAUAGGUCAGACCCUGUUGAGUUUUGAUAUGUAACAGCUUAGCAUUUUCGUCAGAUGCUGUUAAAUUUUAAGUUUUCAGAUAAAAUGCAGUUGCUGCUGAGUAAUGUAAGAGCGCAAGAAUAGACCUAAACAUUCUAAGUGUCUAACGUAUCACUCCCCCCCAGCUAAUCCUUCUUUCUUUGUCCAAAGAAGUCCGUGCUGGUGUCAGAGCUUUUUUUUCUGUUUAGCCUGGAGCCCGGUGUUACAUGCACUUUUUUGAGCUUUCUAGGUGGGGCUUCGUAUUUCUGUUAUUUCAUUUAUUUUGGGACGAAACCCCUAAUUAAACAAGCAAGACCUGUUUCACUGCUCUGAAUAGUUGCAAAGGAGUUGUACUAGAAAGCUAAAAUGACUGAAAGGACAUACUUUUCACUAAUUGAGUGCAAUAAAACAAACUCUACAGCUAGAACUGCAGAAUCUCUAAAUCUGACAAAUGACAAAUGGUUGGUUCAGAUCCUGUGUUAUCAGGCAAAACCUGCCAGUAAAAUCAGGAGUGGUUUUGUCAAAGUAGAAGACAUUCAUGAUUGUAGCCAGUGUUCUAACAAUGGCAAAUCUGCACCGUACGUGCACUUCAUUUUUUAAAUAAAUAUUGACCAAGUCAAACAUGUCCAUGUGUAAAGAUUGGUUUAAAUCAGAUUUGGAAUAUGUCAGAAUAUAGGGUUUUUUGUUGGCCUGGUUCUUAUUAUUAUAGCUCCUGAGACACAGUUUAGAUUUUCAGAGACGGGAAUGGAGAAAAAAGAAAAUUAAUAUUAAGGAAGAUUAAUGGCAAAUGGUUAUACUAUUAGAGCAGUUAUAGAGUUAGAAUAUUGCCACUUGUAAAAACAUUUCAAAGUGGAAAACAUUUUACAUCAUUACAGAAAUAUAUUCAGUACAGCUUUGAAGAGUAUUGCUUCAAAAUAAUGUCAGUAGAAAUCAUCAAUAUGGCUGAUAGGACACAGAAAAGAAGGUAUUCAAGGUUAGCAGUGUCUAGAAGAGUUUUCCUAAAGGACAUAUCAUAUAUACCCUCAGAUUUCCAAAUAAUGUGACAGUGGUAUUUAUCACAUAGUUUAUGAUGUAAUUAACAAUACUGAAAUAUGUUUUAAUAAUAUAUGGAUACACAAACAAAAAGUUAAGCAAAAUUAUAAUAAGUGUUAAUUUAAUAACAGAAGUUAGGGAAUGGAUCUUUUGGAUUUACUUUCAGGGUCUCCCAUUUAUUGUAUGUUUUAAAGCAAAAUGUAAUCAGGAUAAAAUUAAGUUCAAGUAGGAGCAGGAUGCUGUUUGCUGUCUCCAGUAAAUGGUGCCUGUGGCGUUGAGAAGGUAGGUGGAAAGGACACUGUGGCUGCAGGAAUAUCCUUUUUAGCCUUCAGUACAAUGAAAAUUCUAGAAACAAAAUAUAUUUGAGAUAUCAUCAAACACCAUCCAAGUCUUUUGUUGUAGAAAGCACAUCGCUGUGUUUCUGUCUGGUCUUAUAUUUGCAUUUUAAAAGGAUCAUGGCAGAAUAAGAUAGAAGAGAGAUCUAAGCCUGUAAAAUAAGAUAGCAGAAGAAUAAAAUAAGGAGAUAAGCUUAAACAUUUCAAUAGGUGUAUUCUUAAUCAAGUAGCACCUCAAACAGACUAAACUGCCUGAAAGAGCCAUGAAGAUAGCAUUGGUAAUACCUGCAGCAUUAAUAGCAGUGAAAGACAAGGAGGCCUCUGUUGUGUUUUUUUCCUCCCGUUAAUAGGGAGGUAUUAAUACAGGAAAUUAACACAAGUGGAAAAAGACUUCUAGAACUAAGUAUUGGCUUUGUGGUUUUUUUUUCUUUUUUUUUUUUUUUUCCAGUCCAGUAUCUGCUCUCAUGCAGUAGUUAAUGUUUCAAGUGUAAAAAACCACAGUUCACUGCAACAUUUGCCUGGAAGUUGACUGAGUUUGUUUAAGUGUGGGAGAUAAGAUAGACUUGCUAUGGUUAUGUUUUUCCUCGUCAGUCCCUUGCCAAGAUUAAACUGUACAGCUGAGUCUAAAUGACUGUGUGUUUGCUGCCUAGAUUCUGAUCAGAAACACUUCAGUAGUUGUGCAGUGCGGGUAACCAUUGCCAUAGAGGCAAAGCUGGGGUGGUGGCUGCCAUUUGGUCCUGUAAUGUCAUUUGCAUGGGAUGGCUUCCAGCUGCAUCCAUCAGGGCAGCAUCUUAAGUAAGGCAAAAGGUCAUGGAGACUGUGAUGGGGAGGACUUUCAGCAGGGUGUGGCUGCAGGAGGAAAGGAUGAGGUAAACCUUUAGAGCAGAGUUGGUUAAAUAAUGCCAUGAAACUUCCAGUUCCUGACAAUGAUCAGAGAUUAAGCUGUGUGUGUAUGUGCAGGGUUGAAGGUUAACCAGUAACUGAAGCCUUCUCUGAUUGCCACAGGUUUACAUUUU